RNAcentral lists this ribosomal RNA (497 nucleotides) under uncultured bacterium. Its description in RNAcentral is "partial 16S ribosomal RNA". It matches the Rfam family "Bacterial small subunit ribosomal RNA", at positions 28 to 507 of the family's 1533-position model. The record is from RNAcentral.
GAUGAACGCUGGCGGCGUGCCUAAUACAUGCAAGUCGAGCGAACAGACGAGGAGCUUGCUCCUUCGACGUUAGCGGCGGGCGGGUGAGUAACACGUAGGUAACCUACCUAUAAGACUGGGAUAACUUCGGGAAACCGGAGCUAAUACCGGAUAAUAUUUCGAACCGCAUGGUUCGAUAGUGAAAGAUGGCUUUGCUAUCACUUAUAGAUGGACCUGCGCCGUAUUAGCUAGUUGGUAAGGUAACGGCUUACCAAGGCAACGAUACGUAGCCGACCUGAGAGGGUGAUCGGCCACACUGGAACUGAGACACGGUCCAGACUCCUACGGGAGGCAGCAGUAGGGAAUCUUCCGCAAUGGGCGAAAGCCUGACGGAGCAACGCCGCGUGAGUGGUGAAGGUCUUCGGAUCGUAAAACUCUGUUAUUAGGGAAGAACAAACGUGUAAGUAACUGUGCACGUCUUGACGGUACCUAAUCAGAAAGCCACGGCUAACUACGUG